This 57-nucleotide transfer RNA is filed under the name Dipodomys ordii (Ord's kangaroo rat). It matches the Rfam family "tRNA", at positions 8 to 63 of the family's 71-position model. Rfam says of the family: Transfer RNA (tRNA) molecules are approximately 80 nucleotides in length. Their secondary structure includes four short double-helical elements and three loops (D, anti-codon, and T loops). Lineage: Eukaryota; Metazoa; Chordata; Mammalia; Rodentia; Heteromyidae. The record is from Rfam by way of RNAcentral.
UGGCUCAGUGGCAGAGCGCUUGCCUUGCAUGCAUGAGGCCUUGGGUUCGAUUCCUCA